AGAGUUUGAUCAUGGCUCAGAACGAACGCUGGCGGCGUGGAUAAGACAUGCAAGUCGAGCGCUGAUUACAGGGUAGCAAUAUUCUGUAGUUGGAGCGGCGCAAGGGUGCGUAACACGUGGGUAAUCUGCCAUGAAGUUUGGGAUAACUUGCUGAAAGGCGAGCUAAUACCGGAUGUGACAAUUGGGAGGCAUCUUUUGAUUGUCAAAGUUGGGGACCGUAAGGCCUGACGCUUCAUGAUGAGCCCGCGGCCUAUCAGCUAGUUGGUAAGGUAACGGCUUACCAAGGCUAAGACGGGUAGCUGGUCUGAGAGGACGACCAGCCACACUGGAACUGAGACACGGUCCAGACACCUACGGGUGGCAGCAGUCGAGAAUUUUUCACAAUGGGCGCAAGCCUGAUGGAGCGACGCCGCGUGGGGGAUGAAUGGCUUCGGCCCGUAAACCCCUGUCAUUUGCGAUCAAACCUUGUUAUUUAAAAGAUGACGAGCUGAUAGUAGCGAAAGAGGAAGGGACGGCUAACUCUGUGCCAGCAGCCGCGGUAAUACAGAGGUCCCAAGCGUUGUUCGGAUUCACUGGGCGUAAAGGGUGCGUAGGUGGUGGGGUAAGUCGGAUGUGAAAUCUCCGAGCUCAACUCGGAAAUGGCAUUGGAAACUACCCUGCUAGAGGGUCGGAGGGGGGACUGGAAUACUUGGUGUAGCAGUGAAAUGCGUAGAUAUCAAGUGGAACACCAGUGGCGAAGGCGAGUCCCUGGACGACUCCUGACACUGAGGCACGAAAGCUAGGGGAGCAAACAGGAUUAGAUACCCUAGUAGUCC
This 815-nucleotide ribosomal RNA is filed under the name uncultured bacterium. RNAcentral describes it as "bacterial SSU rRNA". It matches the Rfam family "Bacterial small subunit ribosomal RNA", at positions 8 to 796 of the family's 1533-position model. The record is from RNAcentral.